GAUGAACGCUGGCGGCGUGGAUAAGGCAUGCAAGUCGAGCGAUUCUCUUCGGAGAAGAGCGGCGGACGGGUGAGUAACGCGUGGGUAACCUGCCCUGUACACACGGAUAACAUACCGAAAGGUAUGCUAAUACGGGAUAAUAUGCUUUAGUCGCAUGGCUAAAGUAUCAAAGCUCCGGCGGUACAGGAUGGACCCGCGUCUGAUUAGCUAGUUGGUAAGGUAACGGCUUACCAAGGCGACGAUCAGUAGCCGACCUGAGAGGGUGAUCGGCCACAUUGGAACUGAGACACGGUCCAAACUCCUACGGGAGGCAGCAGUGGGGAAUAUUGCACAAUGGGCGAAAGCCUGAUGCAGCAACGCCGCGUGAGCGAUGAAGGCCUUCGGGUCGUAAAGCUCUGUCCUCAAGGAAGAUAAUGACGGUACUUGAGGAGGAAGCCCCGGCUAACUACGUGCCAGCCGCCGCCGUAA
This 468-nucleotide ribosomal RNA is filed under the name uncultured bacterium. Its description in RNAcentral is "partial 16S ribosomal RNA". It matches the Rfam family "Bacterial small subunit ribosomal RNA", at positions 28 to 523 of the family's 1533-position model. The record is from RNAcentral.